Molecule: non-coding RNA, 24 nt
Filed under: Arabidopsis thaliana (thale cress)
Lineage: Eukaryota; Viridiplantae; Streptophyta; Magnoliopsida; Brassicales; Brassicaceae
Source: RNAcentral
AUUCGUAAUGCCUAUUAGGUUAGC